Molecule: ribosomal RNA, 579 nt
Filed under: Phaeosphaeriopsis dracaenicola
Lineage: Eukaryota; Fungi; Ascomycota; Dothideomycetes; Pleosporales; Phaeosphaeriaceae
Description: eukaryotic LSU rRNA
Rfam family: 5.8S ribosomal RNA (bases 229-382)
Source: RNAcentral
GUAACAAGGUUUCCGUAGGUGAACCUGCGGAAGGAUCAUUAAACACAGUAGUUUUCUACUGCUUUGGGGGGUUUGAAAGUCCUGGCUUCUCGCUAGGUUACGAGUAGACCUCCUGUUUCUACCCUUGUCUUUUGUGUACUUACGUUUCCUUGGUAGGUUAGCCUGCCAAAAGGACACUUAUAAACUCUUUUAAUCUAUUAUCAGCGUCUGAAACAUUAUAAUUAUUACAACUUUCAACAACGGAUCUCUUGGUUCUGGCAUCGAUGAAGAACGCAGCGAAAUGCGAUAAGUAGUGUGAAUUGCAGAAUUCAGUGAAUCAUCGAAUCUUUGAACGCACAUUGCGCCCCUUGGUAUUCCAUGGGGCAUGCCUGUUCGAGCGUCAUUUGUACCCUCAAGCUAUGCUUGGUGUUGGGUGUUUGUCCUGUCCUCUGUGUAGGGACUCGCCUCAAAUUCAUUGGCAGCCAGUGUAAUUGGUUUUGAAGCGCAGCACAAUUGCGGUUCUCACGUAUUACUGUUGGUAUCCAACAAGCCUUUCUAUCACGUUUGACCUCGGAUCAGGUAGGGAUACCCGCUGAACUU